Molecule: ribosomal RNA, 462 nt
Filed under: uncultured bacterium
Lineage: Bacteria
Description: SSU rRNA
Rfam family: Bacterial small subunit ribosomal RNA
Source: RNAcentral
AGGAUUAACGCUGGCGGCGUGCCUGACACAUGCAAGUCGAACGAGGCCGCAAGGCCGAGUGGCGGACGGGUGAGUAACACGUGCCAACCAACCUCGAAGUUGGGAAUAGCUCUGCGAAAGUAGGGGUAAUACCGAAUGUGGCCCAGGGCGGGCAUCCGCCUUGGUCUAAAGAUUCAUCGCUUCGAGACGGGGUCGCGGCCUAUUAGCUUGUUGGUGAGGUAACGGCUCACCAAGGCGAUGAUGGGUAGCUGGUCUGAGAGGACGACCAGCCACACUGGGACUGAGACACGGCCCAGACUCCUACGGGAGGCAGCAGUGAGGAAUCUUCCGCAAUGGGCGAAAGCCUGACGGAGCAACGCCGCGUGUGGGAUGAAGACUCUAGGGUUGUAAACCACUGUCGGAGGGGACGAUCGUGACGGUACCCUCCAAGAAAGCCCCGGCUAACUACGUGCCAGCAGCCGC